CCUACGGGUGGCAGCAGUGGGGAAUAUUGGUCAAUGGGCGCAAGCCUGACCCAGCAACGCCGCGUGAAGGAAGACGGCUCUCGGGUUGUUAACCUCUUUUGUCAGGGACGUAGCAAGUGACGGUACCUGACGAAUAAGCCACGGCUAACUACGUGCCAGCAGCCGCGGUAAUACGUAGGUGGCAAGCGUUAUCCGGAUUUACUGGGUGUAAAGGGCGUGUAGGCGGGGAAGUAAGUCAGAUGUGAAAACCACGGGCUCAACCGUUAUCCUGCAUUUGACACUGUUUUUCUUGAGUGCUGGAGAGGCAAUCGGAAUUCCGUGUGUAGCGGUGAAAUGCGUAGAUAUACGGAGGAACACCAGUGGCGAAGGCAGAUUGCUGGACAGUAACUGACGCUGAGGCGCGAAAGCGUGGGGAGCAAACAGGAUUAGAUACCCCUGUAGUC
Molecule: ribosomal RNA, 443 nt
Filed under: uncultured bacterium
Lineage: Bacteria
Description: partial 16S ribosomal RNA
Rfam family: Bacterial small subunit ribosomal RNA
Source: RNAcentral